CCCCCCAGUGAUGAUCUUAAUGCCGCCCCAGUCUGAUGCUGGUGAAUGACAGGCUUUUCGCUCUGAGGAA
Small nucleolar RNA from Halichondria panicea, 70 nucleotides. The record is from RefSeq and is a predicted model, not a curated record. Lineage: Eukaryota; Metazoa; Porifera; Demospongiae; Suberitida; Halichondriidae.